RNAcentral lists this ribosomal RNA (453 nucleotides) under uncultured bacterium. Its description in RNAcentral is "partial 16S ribosomal RNA". It matches the Rfam family "Bacterial small subunit ribosomal RNA", at positions 29 to 523 of the family's 1533-position model. The record is from RNAcentral.
AACGAACGCUGGCGGCAUGCCUAACACAUGCAAGUCGAACGCCCGUAGCAAUACAGGAGUGGCAGACGGGUGAGUAACACGUGGGAAUCUACCCAGUAGCUCGGAAUAACCGCGGGAAACUGCGGCUAAUACCGGAUAAGCCCCGAGGGGGAAAGGAGCAAUCCACUAUUGGAGGAGCCCGCGUCUGAUUAGCUAGUUGGUGAGGUAACGGCUCACCAAGGCGACGAUCAGUAGCUGGUUUGAGAGAACGACCAGCCACACUUGGACUGAGACACGGCCCAGACUCCUACGGGAGGCAGCAGUGGGGAAUAUUGGACAAUGGGGGAAACCCUGAUCCAGCAAUGCCGCGUGGGUGAUGAAGGCCUUCGGGUUGUAAAGCACUUUUGUCGGGGACGAUGAUGACGGUACCCGACGAAUAAGCUCCGGCUAACUUCGUGCCAGCAGCCGCAGUAA